This 524-nucleotide ribosomal RNA is filed under the name uncultured bacterium. Its description in RNAcentral is "partial 16S ribosomal RNA". It matches the Rfam family "Bacterial small subunit ribosomal RNA", at positions 28 to 523 of the family's 1533-position model. The record is from RNAcentral.
GACGAACGCUGGCGGCGUGCCUAAUACAUGCAAGUCGAGCGCAGGAAAUCGACGGAACCCUUCGGGGGGAAGUCGAUGGAAUGAGCGGCGGACGGGUGAGUAACACGUAAAGAACCUGCCCUCAGGUCUGGGAUAACCACGAGAAAUCGGGGCUAAUACCGGAUGGGUCAUCGGACCGCAUGGUCCGAGGAUGAAAGGCGCUUCGGCGUCGCCUGGGGAUGGCUUUGCGGUGCAGUAGCUAGUUGGUGGGGUAAUGGCCCACCAAGGCGACGAUGCAUAGCCGACCUGAGAGGGUGAUCGGCCACACUGGGACUGAGACACGGCCCAGACUCCUACGGGAGGCAGCAGUAGGGAAUCUUCCACAAUGGACGAAAGUCUGAUGGAGCAACGCCGCGUGAACGAUGAAGGCCUUCGGGUCGUAAAGUUCUGUUGUAAGGGAAGAACAAGUGCCGCAGGCAAUGGCGGCACCUUGACGGUACCUUGCGAGAAAGCCACGGCUAACUACGUGCCAGCCGCCGCAGUAA